GAACUGUUGAGGGGAUGAUAACUCAUCCCUCUUCACCGCAGAGUUGUUGAGGGGAGAUGACUGGGCCAAAACAAAAAGGAGUUGGUGAGAGGGGCUGAGGUACGACGUUUCCUAUUUGAGAUGAGAAAGGCUGCGGAAGUGAUGAGGGAGGGCGAGGGAUUUGUUGAAUACACGGGAGAGGAUGAGGGCUAUAAAAAGGGGAAGAGGAGAAGAAACAAUUUGCUGCUAGAGAACGUGGAUCAGAGUUUCAAGAAGACCAAGGGCAUUUAGAUGAUGGUCUCCUGUUGCCAUAAAGGUCUUGAAUUUGGGAACUGACGGAGCUUCAAGGAGUUUUGAUACCGACUGUCAACCUUUGAGGAUGGUUCAUCACAGAAAUCUUGUUCGAAUCAACGAUACUUGUUCCAAGUUGGAUUUCAAGGCGCUCGUCCUACAAUUCUUGUCUAAUGGUAGCCUUGAAGGAUUUCAAGCUUGCCGACGAUGGGUAUGUGAUGCAAAUCAUACCGGCCUGUUUGAUACUGUGGACUGCAAUCUCUUGAAAGAUGAGUAAGGAAAUGAUUGCUUACUAUUGGAAUGUGUGCAAAGUUCUUAUUUCCCUCUCUCUAUAUGAUUUGUUUAGAAAGUCCUAUGUAAAACUUAAUUUGAAGAUAUAUCUAUUGAAUUCAUAUAUUAUCAAUAUUAAUGAAUUCCAAAACUGAAAACAAAAUAAAAAACAAUGAAUUACUAUAGAUUAGCAUAUAACAUAAAUAAACUAUUUUCCAUUGAGUUCUUCUUACAACUUCCUUUCUAACCAAACAUAAAAGUGAAUAUGAUUUCUCUUUCUUUUCCUUUCCCUUCCUUUUUUACUUUCCUUUUUAUUUUCUUUUUCAUUAUUAUCGCUGAAACCAAACAGAGCCUUUGGAAAUGUAAUUUGUGGAAGGUUCAUAAUUUAGAGAUGCGUUCUCUUAGAAUAUCUUCUUGCAUUAAUGAAUCUAGGGAAUCAUAAGUCGUAGAAUAGUUUAAUUCAAACUAGAUUUGGGAAAAGUGAGCUUUGGAUUUCAUUUUUCAAGAUGAAAUUUAAUUCAAACUAAAUUUUGGAAAAUUGAGCUUGGAUCAUAUUUCCACAUUGGCAGUGUUUUUUUAAUUAUUUAAUAUCUUAUCCGUAAUCACUGCUAAUAUCGAUGUUAAAGUCAGCAGUCAGCAGUCAGCAACCAUCAACCAACAUUGUAGCCACGACCCACUAAUCGGUAUUGUGGAAACACUGUAGUGGCCUAAGAGCAAGUCUAGCAAGCUCCCAGUUGAGAGUCCUAGUCAGCAAGCUCUCAAGAGCUCUCAAGCAUUUUGGAAUAAAAAAUUAAAAAAUAAGCCUUGAGAGGCCCUCCUUAUUUUAUGGAGCUCCAACAAGCUCCUAGUUAGGAGCUCCAACAAUAUCAAAAAAACCCAUCUUCUAUUUUAAUUUUUUUACCCAUUACUUUCAAUUAUAUUUAAACCUCUUUUAUUUCAUUUCUAACCGUUGGAUACAGCCUUCGAGAGAGCGCACACGAUCUUCGAGGUAAUCCACGGUCUUCGAGGGAACGCACACGGUCUUCGAGGUAGCCCGCGGUCUUCGAGGUUAGGCACGAAGUUCGAGGUAUCGCGAACUUUGACCGUCAACCGACUGAUUCCUAUAAAAUUUGAUGCCUUCUCACCUCA
Molecule: RNA transcript, 1668 nt
Organism: Asparagus officinalis (garden asparagus)
Lineage: Eukaryota; Viridiplantae; Streptophyta; Magnoliopsida; Asparagales; Asparagaceae
Exons: 3
Source: RefSeq, a predicted model, not a curated record